RNAcentral lists this ribosomal RNA (468 nucleotides) under uncultured bacterium. RNAcentral's name for it is "partial 16S ribosomal RNA". It matches the Rfam family "Bacterial small subunit ribosomal RNA", at positions 28 to 507 of the family's 1533-position model. The record is from RNAcentral.
GACGAACGCUGGCGGCGUGCUUAACACAUGCCAGUCGAACGGAAAGGCCCUGCUUUUGUGGGGUGCUCGAGUGGCGAACGGGUGAGUAACACGUGAGUAACCUGCCCUUGACUUUGGGAUAACUUCAGGAAACUGGGGCUAAUACCGGAUAGGAGCUCCUGCUGCAUGGUGGGGGUUGGAAAGUUUCGGCGGUUGGGGAUGGACUCGCGGCUUAUCAGCUUGUUGGUGGGGUAGUGGCUUACCAAGGCUUUGACGGGUAGCCGGCCUGAGAGGGUGACCGGCCACAUUGGGACUGAGAUACGGACCAGACUCGUACGGGAGGCAGCAGUGGGGAAUAUUGCACAAUGGGCGGAAGCCUGAUGCAGCAACGCCGCGUGCGGGAUGACGGCCUUCGGGUUGUAAACCGCUUUCGCCUGUGACGAAGCGUGAGUGACGGUAAUGGGUAAAGAAGCACCGGCUAACUACGUG